CCUACGGGUGGCAGCAGUCGAGAAUCAUUCACAAUGGGGGAAACCCUGAUGGUGCGACGCCGCGUGGGGGAAUGAAGGUCUUCGGAUUGUAAAACCCUGUCAUGUGGGAGCAAAUUAAAAAGAUAGUACCACAAGAGGAAGAGACGGCUAACUCUGUGCCAGCAGCCGCGGUCAUACAUAGGUAUCAAGCGUUGUUCGGAAUCACUGGGCGUAAAGCGUGCGUAGGCUGUUUCGUAAGACGUGUGUGAAAGGCGCGGGCUCAACCCGCGGACGGCACAUGAUACUGCGAGACUAGAGUAAUGGAGGGGGAACCGGAAUUCUCGGUGUAGCAGUGAAAUGCGUAGAUAUCGAGAGGAACACUCGUGGCGAAGGCGGGUUCCUGGACAUUAACUGACGCUGAGGCACGAAGGCCAGGGGAGCGAAAGGGAUUAGAUACCCCGGUAGUC
RNAcentral lists this ribosomal RNA (446 nucleotides) under uncultured bacterium. RNAcentral describes it as "partial 16S ribosomal RNA". It matches the Rfam family "Bacterial small subunit ribosomal RNA", at positions 338 to 795 of the family's 1533-position model. The record is from RNAcentral.